RNAcentral lists this ribosomal RNA (774 nucleotides) under uncultured Neocallimastigales. RNAcentral's name for it is "partial large subunit ribosomal RNA". It matches the Rfam family "Eukaryotic large subunit ribosomal RNA", at positions 24 to 634 of the family's 3401-position model. The record is from RNAcentral. Lineage: Eukaryota; Fungi; Neocallimastigomycota; Neocallimastigomycetes; Neocallimastigales.
UAUCUCUGUAGAGUCUGCAUAUCAAUAAGCGGAGGAAAAGAAACUAACUAGGAUUCCCUCAGUAACGGCGAGUGAAGCGGGAAGAGCUCAAAUUUGAAAUCUUCAAGGUUCUACCUUGACGAAUUGUAGUUUAAAGAAGUGUUUUCUGUUGGAGUUUUGGUAAAAGUUCUUUGGAAUAGGACAUCAUAGAGGGUGAGAAUCCCGUAUUUGACCAUUAUUUCCAGCUUUGUGAUACACUUUCAAAGAGUCGGAUUGUUUGGGAAUGCAGUCCUAAAUGGGUGGUAAAUUUCAUCUAAAGCUAAAUAUUGGCGAGAGACCGAUAGCGAACAAGUACCGUGAGGGAAAGAUGAAAAGAACUUUGAAAAGAGAGUUAAACAGUACGUGAAAUUGUCAAAAGGGAAGCGUUUGACACCAGUGUUGUUUUCUCGAAAAUCAAUUAAAAAAAGUUGGAUUUUGUAUUGUUAAGACCUUAUCAGCUUACUGUACUCUUUUCUUGCUUUUUUUAAUGCACUUUUCGUUUAACAAGUCAACAUCAAUUUCUUUUGUUGUAAAAGAGUCAUUGGAAGGUGGCUUUCACUUCGGUGAAAGUGUUUAUAGCCUUUGGCCUCUGCAAUCGGAGAGAUUGAGGUCUGCAGCGUAGAUCCUUCGGGGUUAGAUACAUUUGUGCUAAGUUAUAGCCUUUCAUAGACAACUUGUUGACUAUGAUCAGUCAUGUAGCUUACUCGCUUAUGCUAUUUUACCUACGCUUAGGAUGUUGACGAUCAGCUGAGCGCG